UGGGGGAUAUUGCACAAUGGGGGAAACCCUGAUGCAGCGACGCCGCGUGGAGGAAGACGGUUUUCGGAUUGUAAAUUCCUGUCUCCGGGGACGAUAAUGACGGUACCCGGGGAGGAAGCACCGGCUAACUACGUGCCAGCAGCCGCGGUAAUACGUAGGGGGCAAGCGUUGUUCGGAAUUACUGGGCGUAAAGCGCACGCAGGCGGCGUGACGCGUCAGAAGUGAAAUCCCCGGGCUCAACCUGGGAACUGCUUUUGAAACGGUCAUGCUUGAAUCAUGGAGAGGGUAGCGGAAUUCCGAGUGUAGAGGUGAAAUUCGUAGAUAUUCGGAAGAACACCGGUGGCGAAGGCGGCUUACUGGACUGUAACUGACGCUGAGGCUCGAAAGCGUGGGGAGCAAACA
RNAcentral lists this ribosomal RNA (402 nucleotides) under uncultured bacterium. RNAcentral's name for it is "bacterial SSU rRNA". It matches the Rfam family "Bacterial small subunit ribosomal RNA", at positions 355 to 774 of the family's 1533-position model. The record is from RNAcentral.